UGCAACAGACAUUGUUUUCCCGCCACUUUCUAUUAAUCGCAUUCAUUUAAAUUUUUAAGCUGUGAACAUGCAAAUGCACGAUGUUCCUUACCAAGGCCAUACAAUAAUGAAACUGAACGAGUCUGUUCCUAAGCUCGUUAAAACACUUGCUUGUGCUCCUUGACAUUUAUAUAAAUAUAAAUUGGAAAAAAAUGCGUUUUUUACAGAAUAGAAUAAAUGUAUUACUUAUACUGGGACAUUUACGUUUUAAUACUGAACGCCUUAUUAAUAAUAAUUAAUUAAUAUAUAUAUCGCCUGUAAUGAUGAAUAAACGCUAUCGAUCAGGAUCUGGGAUUUCAUACACUGUAUAACCCCGACCAAGUGCAACACGUCUCUUACCAUCUGGGGUAAUAGCUAAUUGUCCUCUAAAAUAUUUUCAAUAAAUAUUAAUCCAUAUAACAAUA
Long non-coding RNA from Bombus pyrosoma, 443 nucleotides. RefSeq lists it as uncharacterized. The record is from RefSeq and is a predicted model, not a curated record. NCBI's taxonomy places the organism in Eukaryota, Metazoa, Arthropoda, Insecta, Hymenoptera, Apidae. The transcript has 2 exons.